AGGACGAACGCUGGCGGCGUGCUUAACACAUGCAAGUCGAACGGUGACCCAGGGCUUGCCCUGGUGAUCAGUGGCGAACGGGUGAGUAACACGUGGACAACCUGCCCCUGACUUCGGGAUAACUCCUCGAAAGAGGAGCUAAUACCGGAUACGACCACUUCGGACAUCCGAUGGUGGUGGAAAGUUUUCGGUCAGGGAUGGGCCCGCGGCCUAUCAGCUAGUUGGUGGGGUAAUGGCCUACCAAGGCGACGACGGGUAGCCGGCCUGAGAGGGCGACCGGCCACACUGGGACUGAGACACGGCCCAGACUCCUACGGGAGGCAGCAGUGGGGAAUAUUGCGCAAUGGGCGAAAGCCUGACGCAGCGACGCCGCGUGAGGGAUGAAGGCCUUCGGGUUGUAAACCUCUUUCAGCAGGGACGAAGCGAAAGUGACGGUACCUGCAGAAGAAGCACCGGCUAACUACGUG
RNAcentral lists this ribosomal RNA (467 nucleotides) under uncultured bacterium. RNAcentral's name for it is "bacterial SSU rRNA". It matches the Rfam family "Bacterial small subunit ribosomal RNA", at positions 26 to 507 of the family's 1533-position model. The record is from RNAcentral.